Molecule: ribosomal RNA, 497 nt
Filed under: uncultured bacterium
Lineage: Bacteria
Description: partial 16S ribosomal RNA
Rfam family: Bacterial small subunit ribosomal RNA
Source: RNAcentral
GAUGAACGCUGGCGGCGUGCCUAAUACAUGCAAGUCGAGCGAACAGACGAGGAGCUUGCUCCUCUGACGUUAGCGGCGGACGGGUGAGUAACACGUGGAUAACCUACCUAUAAGACUGGGAUAACUUCGGGAAACCGGAGCUAAUACCGGAUAAUAUAUUGAACCGCAUGGUUCAAUAGUGAAAGACGGUUUUGCUGUCACUUAUAGAUGGAUCCGCGCCGCAUUAGCUACUUGGUAAGGUAACGGCUUACCAAGGCAACGAUGCGUAGCCGAGCUGAGAGGGUGGUCCGCCACACUGGAACUUAGACACGGUCCAGACUCCUACGGGAGGCAGCAGUAGGGAAUCUUCCGCAAUGGGCGAAAGCCUGACGGAGCAACGCCGCGUGAGUGAUGAAGGUCUUCGGAUCGUAAAACUCUGUUAUUAGGGAAGAAAAAAUGUGUAAUUAACUAUGCACGUCUUGACGGUACCUAAUCAGAAAGCCACGGCUAACUACGUG